This 549-nucleotide ribosomal RNA is filed under the name Triticum aestivum (bread wheat). Its description in RNAcentral is "partial small subunit ribosomal RNA". Lineage: Eukaryota; Viridiplantae; Streptophyta; Magnoliopsida; Poales; Poaceae. The record is from RNAcentral.
AUGGAGGCCGCCGCAGCGCCAGCGGCACCCGUCCCCGACCAGGGGGGUUCCCAUUGGAACGCAUCGAAGGCGGCACGGAGGGGCGACUGCGAUGAGAGCGCCGCCGAUUUCAUCAGCAGGGUCCCCGACGCCGUCCUCUGCACCAUCAUCUCCCUCCUCCCCACCAAGGACGGCGGCCGCACGCAGGUCUUCUCCCGCCGAUGGCGCCCCCUGUGGCGCUCCGCCCCUCUCAACCUCGAGGUCCGCCCAUACCCCGGCCGCGGCGUCCGCACCUCCUCCGUCGCCCCCGAUGUCGUCCCCAAGGUAAUCUCGCAGCAUCCUGGUCCCGCCCGCCGAUUCUGCUUCCACGGCCUCCGCCCCGGCGACCUCCACGACCAGGCGGAGAGCUGGUUCCGCUCCCGAGCCCUCGCCAACCUUGAGGAGCUCGAUGUCGGCUACAAGAUCUACGGUGAAAACGAUUUACAAGAACUUAUUGUGGCGAGAAUUUCCCUGCCGCCAUCCGCCUCGCUCUGCAUCUACCCUCCUCGUUGCCAAGAUCGGCUACUGUGA